UCAUUUGUAACCCAUCGAGCGGCCCUGCGUUGGACCAUCUCGAUCUUGUUUAUGUUGUGUUGUGUGUGUGGGCUCCACACUGAGCUACUAUACUCAAGUUGUGGGCGGACCAGGGUUUUGAAGGCAAAUUCUCUAAUGCGUGGGUGUUUUAUGGGAAUGUUUCGUUUGAUGAAGUUUAGUGUUUGACUGGCUGUUGCAGUAACCUGGUUUAUGUGUUUAUUCCAGCUGAGGUCAGAUGUGAUGCUAACACCCAAGUAUUUAGCAUCACUAACUGUUUCUAGAAUAUGACCGUGGAGUGUGUAAGUGGAUUUGUAGGGACGUUUUGACCUGGGGAUGUUCAUAACCGUACACAUGGAAGGAUUAAAUUCCAUAUCCCAAGUGUGUUCCCAUUUUUGUAGCCGAUCUAGAUCUUCUUGCAGGGUAUUUUGUUCAGUGGGAUUGUUGACCGUGAUGUAGACUUCUUAAGAUAUUCUACUGAUUGAAACUGUUGAGAAUGUUCUUACCUAAUGUUAAAAAAGCUUUCAAUUUUCCACAUAUUUGAAAUAUUUUAAUGAUUUCAUGAUGAAUAAUUAUCAUAUAUAAAAUAGAAAUAAUAAGUUAUGGUCUUAAAUUUACAAUUCUAAACUAUAAACAAAUAUAAUCCGAAAUAUUGAGUUAAGCUAUACCGUAAAUCUUUCAUUUAGUAUUAUUACAACAGAAAAUCAAAAGCUGUUUAUAAUAAAUAAGUUGUUCUCUUACACACAUAUCAAACACUUAUUUUCUUGAAUACAUGUGUUUGAUUUAUUACAGAUGUUAGAUCAACAAUCAACGAUGUCAAAGGUGUGGGUUUAGAAUUUCAAAAAAAGAUGCUAAUAUGGAACUGCCAAACAAUCUGAUCAGCACCAAACCUGCUGCAGCUGCAUCGGAAAACAAUACCUUCCUUAUAUGAUGUCAAUCACUUGCAGAUGACCAAGACCAUGUUAAGUUACGCCAGAAGGAAGUGAUAGCAUAAAUGCUGCCAGCGAAGUUCGCUUGGACAAGAUUACUUCCAUACCCGGACAGACCGUUCAUACGUACAUUGUCGGAAAGAUUAUUGUAACCCAAUUCGAAUCAAGCUAUCCUUAAAUAAAAAGCCAACAAAGACUGUAUUAUCUCCACCAUUACGAUCUAACACUGAACGAUUUAA
Dreissena polymorpha is the source of this 1165-nucleotide long non-coding RNA. RefSeq lists it as uncharacterized. The transcript has 3 exons. The record is from RefSeq and is a predicted model, not a curated record. NCBI's taxonomy places the organism in Eukaryota, Metazoa, Mollusca, Bivalvia, Myida, Dreissenidae.